UCGAGAAUCUUCCGCAAUGGGCGAAAGCCUGACGGAGCGACACCGCGUGCAGGAUGAAGGCCUUAGGGUUGUAAACUGCUGUCACGCAAUAGGAACGGCGUAAGGUUAAUAGCCUUGCGAUUGACUAAAGCGAGAGGAAGAGCCGGCUAACUCCGUGCCAGCAGCCGCGGUAAGACGGAGGGCUCUAACGUUGUUCGGAAUCACUGGGCAUAAAGCGCACGUAGGCUGUUUACUCAGUCGGAUGUGAAAGCCCCCGGCUCAACCGGGGAACUGCAUCCGAUACUGGUAGGCUAGAGGACGGCAGGGGUAAGUGGAACUCCAGGUGGAACGGUGAAAUGUGUAGAUAUCUGGAGGAACACCGGUGGCGAAAGCGGCUUACUGGGCCGUCUCUGACGCUGAGGUGCGAAAGCUAGGGUAGCGAACGGGAUUAGAUACCCCCGUAGUCC
This 446-nucleotide ribosomal RNA is filed under the name uncultured prokaryote. Its description in RNAcentral is "bacterial SSU rRNA". It matches the Rfam family "Bacterial small subunit ribosomal RNA", at positions 355 to 796 of the family's 1533-position model. The record is from RNAcentral.